Molecule: ribosomal RNA, 497 nt
Filed under: uncultured bacterium
Lineage: Bacteria
Description: partial 16S ribosomal RNA
Rfam family: Bacterial small subunit ribosomal RNA
Source: RNAcentral
GAUGAACGCUGGCGGCGUGCCUAAUACAUGCAAGUCGAGCGAACAGACGAUGAUCUUGCUCCUCUGACGUUAGCGGCAGACGUGUGAGUAACACGUGUAUAACCUACCUAUAAGACUGGUAUAACUUCGGGAAACCGGAUCUAAUACCGGAUAAUAUAUUGAACCGCAUGGUUCAAUAGUGAAAUACGGUUGUUCUGUCACGUAUAGAUGGAUCCGGGCCGCAUUAGCUGGUUGGUAAGUUAACGGCUUAUCAAGGCAACGAUGCGUAGACGACCGGAGAGGCUGAUAGGCGACCCUGGAGGUUGGCCAGGCUCAAGAGUACUAAGGGAGGCAGCAGUCGGGAAUCUUACGCAACGGGCGAAAGUAUGACGGAGUAACGCCGAGUGUGUGACGACGGUGUUCGGAUCGUAAUGCUCUGUUACGAGGGAUGAACCACUGUGUCCGUAACUAUGCACGUAUUGACGGUACCUAAUCAGAAAGCCACGGCUAACUACGUG